GUCGAACGCUGGCGGCGGGCUUAACACAUGCAAGUCGAACGAAAAUACCAAGCUUGCUUGGUUGAUUAGUGGCGAACGGGUGAGUAACACGUAAGUAACCUGCCGCUUAUUUUCCUGGAUAACUGCUCGAAAGCGCAGCUAAUACAGGCUAUUCUGACGAGCCUGCAUGGGUUGUUUGGGCAUGGUUGUUUCUCUGGUACCUGAUGGGCUCGCGCCCUAUCGUCUUGUUGGUGGGGUGAUGGCCUACCAAGGCUUUGACGGGUAGCCGGCCGGAGAGUGUGGACGGUGACACUGAGACUGAGUCACGGCCCAGACUGGUACGGGAGGCAGGAGUGGGGAAUAUUGCACAAUGAGCGCAAGCCUGACGCAGCGACGCUGCGUGAGGGAUGAAGGCAUUCGGGUUGUAAACCUCUUUCGUCAGGGAGCAAGGCACUGCUUUUUUGGUGGUGUUGAGGGUACAUGGAUAAGAAGAGCGGGCUAAUUAGGU
This 487-nucleotide ribosomal RNA is filed under the name uncultured bacterium. RNAcentral describes it as "partial 16S ribosomal RNA". It matches the Rfam family "Bacterial small subunit ribosomal RNA", at positions 28 to 506 of the family's 1533-position model. The record is from RNAcentral.